AUUGAACGCUGGCGGCAGGCUUAACACAUGCAAGUCGAGCGAGCGGCGGACGGGUGAGUAAUGUCUGGGACACUGCCUGAUGGCGGGGGAUAACUACUGGAAACGGUAGCUAAUACCGCAUACCAUCAGAUGUGCCCAGAUGGGAUUCGCUAGUAGGUGGGGUAAUGGCUCACCUAGGCGACGAUCCAUAGCUGGGCUGAGAGGAUGACCAGCCACACUGGAACUGAGACACGGCCCAGACUCCUACGGUGGGCAGCAGUGGGGAAUUUUGCACAAUGGGCGCAAGCCUGAUGCAGCCAUGCCGCGUGUGUGAAGAAGGCCUUCGGGUUGUAAAGCACUUUCAGUGAGGAGGCGGUACUCGCAGAAGAAGCACCGGCUAACUCCGUGCCAGCCGCCGCGGUAAUAC
This 406-nucleotide ribosomal RNA is filed under the name uncultured bacterium. RNAcentral's name for it is "partial 16S ribosomal RNA". It matches the Rfam family "Bacterial small subunit ribosomal RNA", at positions 30 to 526 of the family's 1533-position model. The record is from RNAcentral.